GACGAACGCUGGCGGCGUGCUUAAUACAUGCAAGUCGAACGGUGAUGCCCCAGCUUGCUGGAGUGGAUCAGUGGCGAACGGGUGAGUAACACGUGAGCAACCUGCCCCAGACUCUGGAAUAAGCGCUGGAAACGGCGUCUAAUACUGGAUACGAAACUGGCCCGCAUGGGCAUGGUUUGGAAAGUUUUUCGGUUUGGGAUGGGCUCGCGGCCUAUCAGCUUGUUGGUGAGGUAAUGGCUCACCAAGGCGACGACGGGUAGCCGGCCUGAGAGGGCGACCGGCCACACUGGGACUGAGACACGGCCCAGACUCCUACGGGAGGCAGCAGUGGGGAAUAUUGCACAAUGGGCGAAAGCCUGAUGCAGCGACGCCGCGUGAGGGAUGACGGCCUUCGGGUUGUAAACCUCUUUCAGCAGGGAAGAAGCGAAAGUGACGGUACCUGCAGAAGAAGCACCGGCUAACUACGUG
This 468-nucleotide ribosomal RNA is filed under the name uncultured bacterium. RNAcentral's name for it is "partial 16S ribosomal RNA". It matches the Rfam family "Bacterial small subunit ribosomal RNA", at positions 28 to 507 of the family's 1533-position model. The record is from RNAcentral.